AUGACUAGUUGUGGGGACCCCGACUCAUAAGUCGUGAUCACCGAAUGCACGUGUACAGUGAUCCCAGAGAUCAAUGCUCACUGAACACACAGAAGCUGAAUAACAAGAGUCUUACAUCCAUACAUACUGUAUUACACAAGUAGGACCAUUAUGGUCAAGUCUUGAGUAUAACUUCGCAGCGGAAAUCUUCAUCGAUAACUUGGACCCAUGCCAUCUGCCUUAACCCUACAGGCAUUCUGACUAGGAAGCGUCCUAGCUCGAAUGUUCAUCACGAAGUAUUCUUCAUCAUAUCCUGUUCUUUAAUGCCUGGCCAAUAAAAUAACCAGUGGCAAGCCAAUGAAUUUGCAAAGUUGACAAAUAUGAAGAAAUGGCUCAUUAUAUUGUGUGGUACAGAAAGUGUUAGGAAAAAUGUUCAUAAACUAAGUUAUGAACUUAGAAACAUCUAGGAAUUUGAAUCAUGGCAUUUGGACCAAUUUUGACCUCUCUGUGAUUUUCUAAAGUUCAUCACAGAAAUAGGAAAAAUAGGAUUUGAUAAAUAUUUGUGAAGGAAAUGCUUCUGUAAAAAUGUGACAAUAGCACCUUGUGGUAGGGAAUGAUUUUAGAAACUACUAGAAAUUUGGAUCAUCAAAUUUGGAGUUAAUUUGAAUUAUUUAGCAAUUUUACAAUAUUUAUGAAAAAGAAAAGGAAGAAAGGGAAUCAACCUUAUAAAGCGCAUUGGGCGAAGCCCAGCUAAACAGCGCCCACCAGGUUCGGCCCAGUGGCUCAGCUGCGCGAGGGAGGAGGUGACGCCGAAGGCGCACUGCGAGAGGGCGCCACCCAGCG
Molecule: long non-coding RNA, 822 nt
Filed under: Triticum aestivum (bread wheat)
Lineage: Eukaryota; Viridiplantae; Streptophyta; Magnoliopsida; Poales; Poaceae
Description: long non-coding RNA (TAES_LNC008591)
Source: RNAcentral